RNAcentral lists this long non-coding RNA (794 nucleotides) under Homo sapiens (human). RNAcentral's name for it is "HSALNT0006063". Lineage: Eukaryota; Metazoa; Chordata; Mammalia; Primates; Hominidae. The record is from RNAcentral.
GAAGAAAUAAAGGCAGAGCUUCCUAGGGCGGCUGCCAAAAUGGAGUAAGGUGUGGGCCCUCAUUUGCACCUCCUCUGAUGGAGAUAGCUGUGGGUUGUGGCCUCGUGGGGAUUUCCUGGAGGCCAGCUUCGUGGCACUUCACUAGUACAGGAGCUAGCUGCACUCUUUGGGCUACGAAGAAGCCCAAAACACAGCCCCAAGCAGGAACCAGCUUAGAAGUAUCCCUCAAGGGAAUAAACCUGGGGAUCUUCCUGGAAAGAGAGAGACAGGAGGUCCUGAGGAAGGGCACAAGGGACAAGGAAAGCAGCUCCCAGCUUCAGCAGUCUGCAAACCAGCCUGUCAAUUUGAAGGACACAUAGCCUGUGGGAUAGGGUGGGGCUUGUUAAGGCAUUAAGAAGGCCAGACCCCAAGUCGAGACCUGCCAAAGAUACCAGCAGGGACUAGAGGAGCAGACAGUUUGCGCAAGUUAGCUAUAAGUGGUGUAGCCUGUUCUGGCCUGGAGAAGACAAGGGGAUACAACAGCUGUAGCCACAAGCCUGACUAGUCCCCAAAACUUUGGAGAACUAGGCCUGGAGGUACAAACCUGUUCCUGGGUCUGAUUCCUGGAUGGAUCCACUGAGCUCCAAACAGUUGCCGGAGGAAGUCACAGUCUUACAGCAGAAAUUGUCCACAGGUACCUUACUACUGAUGCUGUAGCAAAGACAACUUUAUUCCCGAUUUUUGCAAUGCUGAUCUCCAACAGAACUCUCAUAAUUUUGAGAGAGAAUUGCUGUUUUUCCGCCAUGAACAAAUUG